Haliotis rufescens (red abalone) is the source of this 3387-nucleotide long non-coding RNA. RefSeq lists it as uncharacterized. NCBI's taxonomy places the organism in Eukaryota, Metazoa, Mollusca, Gastropoda, Lepetellida, Haliotidae. The record is from RefSeq and is a predicted model, not a curated record. The transcript is spliced from 2 exons.
CCAUGCGAUCAACCUUCGUAAACACAGGAAGUGUGGCUUAUGUAUUGACACCGUGCAGCUGGUGCACAUUAUAGCUGGGAUCAACCUCAUUCUCAGGUGAAGCAAAUCUUGUAAUAGAUCUCACUCAGUCAUGUCACCCAUACCAGAUUCCCGUGAGAGCACAUGUCAUGCAAAAUACCCUGCUGGGCCGUCCUACCUGUAUAGCAACUGCUUUAAGUAGAGGGCUUUAAAUUACGUGCCAGAUCGAUACAAUUUCAAGUGGCCUUGACCUACUCAAACCUUUACCUUCGAUACAAUGACGAAUGCUAGAGGGUCCUAGACGCUACAGAGUGCAGUUAUCUGAAUAAUAUAGCAUGUCAAGGUUCUAAGUCGUGCAGCCAUACAUUAUUCUUGUUGUGACCCGUUGCCUCUCGAUAUACAACCUGUUACACGUUGUGCAUAUGCAGCGCAGUAUGCAUGGAUGACAUGACCCGGGCGGGGAAGCAGCAGAUGACGGGAUCUACUGGUGGGAUUCACUGAAAGUGUUCUUAUAAUAAAGGACAUUUUUUUCAUUUCUUGACAAAUGAGCGAGACAGACAUUUCCCAUUUGAUGUGCACCAGUGGAAGUCGCUUUAAGGGCGAGUCAUUGUGUGAGGAUGGAGACCAGGUGGACCAGGUGGACGGUGAGGGCACUCCAACACUCUCACUUGAGUGUCGGGAUCUGGGGGUGAAGGAGCUGCAGCAUAUGCUGUGUGUGUCGGGGGUGGACUACGACCAGAUGGCCAGGCUGGUGGAGAACGUGCUCACGAGGAGACAGUGACAGUCGAGGGAGCCAGAAACCAUCACAGGAGCCAGUGACAGUCAAGGGAGUCAGAAACCAUCAAAGGAGCCAGUGACAGUCAAGGGAGUCAGAAACCAUCACAGGAGCCAGUGACAGUCAAGGGAGUCAGAAACCAUCACAGGAGCCAGUGACAGUCGAGGGAGUCAGAAACCAUCACAGGAGCCAGUGACAGUCAAGGGAGUCAGAAACCAUCAAAGGAGCCAGUGACAGUCAAGGGAGUCAGAAACCAUCACAGGAGCCAGUGACAGUCAAGGGAGUCAGAAACCAUCAAAGGAGCCAGUGACAGUCAAGGGAGUCAGAAACCAUCACAGGAGCCAGUGACAGUCAAGGGAGUCAGAAACCAUCAAAGGAGCCAGUGACAGUCAAGGGAGUCAGAAACCAUCACAGGAGCCAGUGACAGUCAAGGGAGUCAGAAACCAUCACAGGAGCCAGUGACAGUCAAGGGAGUCAGAAACCAUCACAGGAGACAGUGACAGUCAAGGGAGUCAGAAACCAUCACAGGAGCCAGUGACAGUCGAGGGAGUCAGAAACCAUCACAGGAGCCAGUGACAGUCGAGGGAGUCAGAAACCAUCACAGGAGCCAGUGACAGUCAAGGGAGUCAGAAACCAUCACAGGAGCCAGUGACAGUCGAGGGAGUCAGAAACCAUCACAGGAGACAGUGACAGUCAAGGGAGUCAGAAACCAUCACAGGAGCCAGUGACAGUCGAGGGAGUCAGAAACCAUCACAGGAGACAGGGAAAAUAAAGAAACAUAACCUUGAACUUCUCUCCACCAACAAACUUGGUCCGCUCAAUUACUUCACACAGACAACCGUUUGCACAUCAGUCCCGAUAUAUGUUCUUGUAAACUUAAGUCUGAAAUGAUUAUAGCUUUCGAUAUGAAACUAAUUAGAAAGCCUGGACCUAGAUUGGGUAUUAUUAGAAGACAUAACUACAUUUAAGCAUUUUGGAGCCUGUUAUUUUUCGGAUAUUCGAGCAUGUCAAGGAACCACUAUGGUCUCUACAGGAACAAUAAACCUUCACAUUCAGGUAGGAAAGGGAACACAUGUCGUUACAAACAUAGCCGUGGACACCCUGCUGAGUGGAACAAUGGAUCAGAGCCCAAGGGAUGAUGUGUUGAGGCAGUACCCUGUAUAUGUUGUGACAGAAACACUGAGUCGGUACCCCGUGGAUGGUGUUAUAUACGCUGAGACGGUACACAGGGGAUGAUGUGAGAAACUUUGAGGCAGUAUCCUGCGGAUGAUGUGAGAUACAACAAGGCAGUGCCCUGUGGAUGGCGUUAGAAACACUGAGACGGUACGUGUGGAUGAUGUGAGAUACAAUGAGGCAGUACCCUGUGGAUGAUGUGAGAUGCAAUGAGGCAGUACCCUGUGGAUGAUGUGAGAUGCAAUGAUGCAGUACCCUGUAGAUGAUGUGAGAUGCAAUGAGGCAGUACCCUGUAGAUGAUGUGAAAUGCAAUGAGGCAGUACCCUGUGGAUGAUGUGAGAUGCAAUGAGGCAGUACCCUAUGGAUGAUGUGAGAUGCAAUGAUGCAGUACCCUGUGGAUGAUGUGAGAUGCAAUGAGGCAGUACCCUGUGGAUGAUGUGAGAUGCAAUGAGGCAGUACCCUGUGGACGAUGUGAGAUGCAAUGAGGCAGUACCCUGUGGACGAUGUGAGCUGCAAUGAGGCAGAACCCUGUGGAUGAUGUGAGAUGCAAUGAGGCAGUACCCUGUGGAUGAUGUGAGAUGCAAUGAGGCAGUACCCUGUGGAUGAUGUGAGAUGCAAUGAGGCAGUACCCUGUGGAUGAUGUGAGAUGCAAUGAUGCAGUCCAAGGGAGCUGAUUUGAGUAACACUGUGCUGAUACAGGCAAGAGUAACAAGAGCAGUGAUUAUUGUUGCCAGGUAGAACUGAGAGAGAAACAGGUCUUCAAAACACACGUUAAACCGAGUUUUGGUUUAUAAAUUCCCGUGCAUCUUCCCUACGCAAGUGAGUUAACUGACCAUAAAAGUCCAGUUUCCAUUGACUUUUAUAGUCAGUUAAAGCCCUUGGCCCUGGAAGAUGAGGCCCGUGUGACCCAAGAGCAACUAAUACUAACACUAAAACGUGUCUCGUGCAUAAACAAUUGGGACACGAUUGUCCAACAGAUAUAUGCGAAAGUCUCGGACAAUUCGACAAGAAGCGGUAAUUUCUCCGAACAUAUCCCAUGUCCACAAAAACACAGCGACGUCAUUGAGUAUAUACUUGGUCCUCCUGUGUCUGGUAACACUGUAGCAUCCAGCUGCUGAAGGAGCUACUCACACUGAUGGGGAUGACGAGAUAGAGUUUAACCACUCGGCGCCAGGGCAGUGUUGUCCCAUUUUGUCAAAAUGACAAGCCGGGUUCGAAAUGGAUGUCAAACUUUGUGUUCAGGACAUUUUUGUUUGUUUACGACAUUGUCCCUUACCGGUGUGUUUAAUAUCUUCAUUUUUAUUUUAAUACGUGGUGUAAGUUGUCAGUGUUUCAAACUGUGUCGUGUCUGCUUUGUGGAGGACAGGGAACAUGGAGUGUGAAAUAAAACUAUACAACUGAAAAGGAACUAUCCAUCGGUA